Molecule: small RNA, 92 nt
Filed under: Leishmania major strain Friedlin
Lineage: Eukaryota; Euglenozoa; Kinetoplastea; Trypanosomatida; Trypanosomatidae
Description: Leishmania major sRNA LMJF_25_snoRNA0013
Source: RNAcentral
GCGACUGAUGAGAAACCUCAUGUUACUGACACCUCUAGUCUGACACUGUUGGUGACGAGCACACAUUUGUAUAGUUAUCCCUGUCUGAACGC